UAGCUCAUUCUGCAUUAGUAAUACAAUAAAUGAUUAGCAUUCCAAUUUGAAACAUAAGUAUUUUUAUUUUUUAUAGAUUUGUGGAGGGCCUGAAUACCCUUGGUGUUCUGAAUGCAAUCCGAAUGCAUCCUGGCAGUUUUAGGCCCUUAAUGUGCCAUGAACCAUCUGCACUCACUGCUGACAUAAUGGAUCACCUUUUCCACAUCCGCCUGUCUGAAGUGGGAAGCAACAAGAGAAGAGCAGAGGAACUUGUGGUACCAUUUUGGAGGGACUACCUGCAGGAUGUUGAAGAGCAAGAAGGACCAUCAAAGCUAGGUAAAAUCCUAGCCUUUGCCACAGGUGCAAGUGUCAUCCCUCCAGUUGGCUUCUCCCCUCAGCCAUCAAUCGAUUUCCUGCAUGAUCAUUCCUCCAGCCCGAGACGCUGUUUGCCUAUGGCCAACACCUGCAUUAACUGCCUUAAGCUACCGCUUUUUGACAAAUAUGGGGAUUUCAGGGAGAGAAUGGACUUUGCAGUUGGUAACACACAGGGUUUUGGUAGGGAAUAACAGAACAUCAUGAGUGGUUAGUUCCAAGUACCCUCUUGAGGAUGUUUGGAAUAGACAGGUUAAGAAUACACAGUGAAAAUAUAUCGAUUGCUGAUAAAAACACAUCACCUUUUGAGUGUUAAAGGUGAAAGGGUUCAGAUUUUUUUUAACCUGUACCCUAUUUUACUAUGUUUGUUUGUCUAAGUGACUGAUGGGGAGAACAAUCUUUGAAAUUGGUCCAGUAUUUAUUAAGAUCCCUGUAGUCGGCAGUGGCGAAACUAGAUGCAAUGUUAGUUAUUGGGUAAUUGCUUGUUUUGUCACUGACAUGCUCAGAUUAUUAUUCUAAAUCUUUUUG
Molecule: long non-coding RNA, 879 nt
Organism: Sander lucioperca (pikeperch)
Lineage: Eukaryota; Metazoa; Chordata; Actinopteri; Perciformes; Percidae
Exons: 3
Source: RefSeq, a predicted model, not a curated record